RNAcentral lists this ribosomal RNA (364 nucleotides) under uncultured Streptococcus sp. Its description in RNAcentral is "bacterial SSU rRNA". It matches the Rfam family "Bacterial small subunit ribosomal RNA", at positions 1016 to 1382 of the family's 1533-position model. Lineage: Bacteria; Bacillati; Bacillota; Bacilli; Lactobacillales; Streptococcaceae. The record is from RNAcentral.
CCCUUCGGGGAGCUUGGAGACAGGUGCUGCAUGGCUGUCGUCAGCUCGCGUCGUGAGAUGUUGGGUUAAGUCCGCAACGAGCGCAACCCCUAUUGUUAGUUGCCAUCAUUCAGUUGGGCACUCUAGCGAGACUGCCGGUAAUAAACCGGAGGAAGUGGGGAUGACGUCAAAUCAUCAUGCCCCUUAUGACCUGGGCUACACACGUGCUACAAUGGUUGGUACAACGAGUCGCGAGUCGGUGACGGCGAGCUAAUCUCUUAAAGCCAAUCUCAGUUCGGAUUGUAGGCUGCAACUCGCCUACAUGAAGUCGGAAUCGCUAGUAAUCGCGGAUCAGCACGCCGCGGUGAAUACGUUCCCGGGCCUU